Molecule: unclassified non-coding RNA, 233 nt
Filed under: Hevea brasiliensis (rubber tree)
Lineage: Eukaryota; Viridiplantae; Streptophyta; Magnoliopsida; Malpighiales; Euphorbiaceae
Source: RNAcentral
GGGACUACUUCGAACUUCCUAGUUUCCUCAACUACCAAAAUUAAGCAACAAAGCUUAAUCACAGAUAUGACUUCUAAUUAACAAAAUUUACUGGCCCUAGACUCACAGAAGGAAUUGCAUAGCAUCAGGAAGACAUUUCUGAAUGCAAAUACAUCAACUGGUCCAAUAUCUCACAGUAAAAUCUCAUAUUAAAGCAUGUAUUAGCAGCACUCCGCAGCUAAACAGCGCUUAAC